UGGGCUUGGGCCUAAAGGCAAAUGCUGCUUGGGUAAGUCACAGAACCACUUCUAUGAGGCCACAGAAGCCCUGCUUCUUUGCAUGACUGAGCCAGUCACAAGGAUGGGACUAGCGCUGGGUAUGCGGUCCAUGCCUGCAACCCAACAUUUAGGAAGCAGAGGCAGCAGAUCUCUGAAUCCAAGGUCAUUCUGGUCAACAUAGUGAGUCCCAGGCCAGCCAGGGACAAAUCGAGACCCUGCCUAACAAGCAAAGGCGGUGGUGAGGAGAUUGGUUACAGGGGAGCACAGCCAUGUCAAAGACCCCAGCGUCUCACCUCAGACCUACAGAAACGGCAAACCUGCUGCCAGGUCAGGCUCAGGGCAAUGGCAAAGCCCUGGUCUGAGAAAGAAUGUUGAGCAUAGAGGAAGUACCAGCCACAGCCUCCUCCCUGAUGACUUCAGCCCGAGACUGCUCCCCUAUGGAAAGUACCUACUAAAACUGGCUAUCCCGUCUUCCCGUUCAACUGUAGACAACAAGCCCACCUCCUCGUUCAUCUGUACGUCAUAAACCCACCUCAAUUCAGAUAUGUAAGAUGAAUGUGCCGAGUUUCCAGUCUAUGCAGUCAGUGUGACUCCAUCAAAGUGUAUGGCCAGCCCAUCCCAGCUUUUCUGUCUGCGUGUUUGUCAUUUCUUCAUUCCCUCGUCACCCCAGUUAAGACGAACCCUAAGAGAUAACAGAGUACAGCGAUAAAUAAAAGAAUUAAAAUUU
Long non-coding RNA from Mesocricetus auratus (golden hamster), 748 nucleotides. RefSeq lists it as uncharacterized. The record is from RefSeq and is a predicted model, not a curated record. NCBI's taxonomy places the organism in Eukaryota, Metazoa, Chordata, Mammalia, Rodentia, Cricetidae. The transcript is spliced from 2 exons.